Molecule: ribosomal RNA, 490 nt
Filed under: uncultured bacterium
Lineage: Bacteria
Description: partial 16S ribosomal RNA
Rfam family: Bacterial small subunit ribosomal RNA
Source: RNAcentral
AUUGAACGCUGGCGGCAGGCCUAACACAUGCAAGUCGAACGGUAACAGGAAGCAGCUUGCUGCUUCGCUGACGAGUGGCGGACGGGUGAGUAAUGUCUGGGAAACUGCCUGAUGGAGGGGGAUAACUACUGGAAACGGUAGCUAAUACCGCAUAACGUCGCAAGACCAAAGAGGGGGACCUUAGGGCCUCUUGCCACCGGAUGUGCCCAGAUGGGAUUAGCUAGUAGGUGGGGUAACGGCUCACCUAGGCGACGAUCCCUAGCUGGUCUGAGAGGAUGACCAGCCACACUGGAACUGAGACACGGUCCAGACUCCUACGGGAGGCAGCAGUGGGGAAUAUUGCACAAUGGGCGCAAGCCUGAUGCAGCCAUGCCGCGUGUAUGAAGAAGGCCUUCGGGUUGUAAAGUACUUUCAGCGGGGAGGAAGGGAGUAAAGUUAAUACCUUUGCUCAUUGACGUUACCCGCAGAAGAAGCGCCGGCUAACUCCGUG